AGUUCAUACAAGAUAUAAAACAGUAAAAUGACUGCAAAAAGAGGUUCAAUCAUUUUUGCUCAUGGAUGCAAAUUCUCCAGCCAGUACAAGAGUAUUGUUCCUUACUGUGCUUUGUAAAGAAUUGCAUGGAGUAGGAGCAUAGAAACUAAAAGCAGAUCUUCCAAGGUUGGUACUGGACGAACUUGCAGUGAAAGCCAGUCAUUAGACCAUCCAAAGGAUCAGAGGCCAGAAAGAGAAGGCCUUCCAUUUUUUAUAUAAAGGAUACAAUGGUGAGUGCUAUAGACCAGGAAUAAACCUAUGAGCAGAAAGAUCCGAAGGGGUAAGAGUAGAGGUCGACGCAUCCCUAUAAACCUCAUUGUCGUAAUACAUAACAGACAGAAUCCUUUUCUGACAUAUCUAGAAAAGUUGGAUCUAUUUGUAUAUAUUAAAGAAAUUGGAUGAAUUGCAAAAGAUUUUAUAUUUGAUGUUUGAAUUUGAGUUUAUCAGCUAACCUCUUCUAGCGGCUCAAAGGCUUCCUUCCUGGUUGGCAUUUAAUGUGAAACAUUUGCAGGAAACAUAGAGUUUCCAUGACUACAGCUUAACAACGAACAAAAAAACAGGAAGGUAGAACCAAUUAGAAUAACAGAGUGCACUCCUCUUUGUCUAGUGCUGGCCAUUUGAGGAGAGCUCUUCCCUGACCUUCUGCUGCGGAGAGUGAUGACAAGGACGACACAGCUGACCUUGACAUUCAGCAUGCUAAAUGGCUUCUUCCACAGCCAGUCAGCAAACACAGAGACAGGACCCGAGGAUGGGCCGGAACGAGGGAUGAGAGGAGGCGGAAGACGGAAGCGAGGAGGUGACCUCUCCAAAGUUUACCCAGCGUCCCCCACUCCCCUUCAUCCCCUCCCCACCUCCCCUCGA
This 900-nucleotide long non-coding RNA is filed under the name Dicentrarchus labrax (European seabass). RNAcentral's name for it is "lncRNA (ENSDLAG00005032205.1)". The record is from RNAcentral. Lineage: Eukaryota; Metazoa; Chordata; Actinopteri; Moronidae.